AAUCCAUAGGUUAAUGAGGCGAACCGGGGGAACUGAAACAUCUAAGUACCCCGAGGAAAAGAAAUCAACCGAGAUUCCCCCAGUAGCGGCGAGCGAACGGGGAGGAGCCCAGAGCCUGAAUCAGCAUGUGUGUUAGUGGAAGCGUCUGGAAAGGCGCGCGAUACAGGGUGACAGCCCCGUACACAAAAGCGCAUGUGCUGUGAGCUCGAUGAGUAGGGCGGGACACGUGGUAUCCUGUCUGAAUAUGGGGGGACCAUCCUCCAAGGCUAAAUACUCCUGACUGACCGAUAGUGAACCAGUACCGUGAGGGAAAGGCGAAAAGAACCCCGGCGAGGGGAGUGAAAAAGAACCUGAAACCGUGUACGUACAAGCAGUGGGAGCACAGGUUUACCUGUGUGACUGCGUACCUUUUGUAUAAUGGGUCAGCGACUUAUAUUCUGUAGCAAGGUUAACCGUAUAGGGGAGCCGUAGGGAAACCGAGUCUUAACCGGGCGUUAAGUUGCAGGGUAUAGACCCGAAACCCGGUGAUCUAGCCAUGGGCAGGUUGAAGGU
RNAcentral lists this ribosomal RNA (552 nucleotides) under Salmonella enterica subsp. enterica serovar Newport. Its description in RNAcentral is "partial 23S ribosomal RNA". It matches the Rfam family "Bacterial large subunit ribosomal RNA", at positions 161 to 752 of the family's 2925-position model. Lineage: Bacteria; Pseudomonadati; Pseudomonadota; Gammaproteobacteria; Enterobacterales; Enterobacteriaceae. The record is from RNAcentral.